This 82-nucleotide transfer RNA is filed under the name Gemelliphila palaticanis. RNAcentral's name for it is "tRNA-Leu". It matches the Rfam family "tRNA". From Rfam's summary of the family: Transfer RNA (tRNA) molecules are approximately 80 nucleotides in length. Their secondary structure includes four short double-helical elements and three loops (D, anti-codon, and T loops). RNAcentral also lists the same sequence under 1 other name. Lineage: Bacteria; Bacillati; Bacillota; Bacilli; Caryophanales; Gemellaceae. The record is from RNAcentral.
GCCAGUAUGGCGGAAUUGGCAGACGCACUGGACUCAAAAUCCAGCGAGGCAACUCGUGCCGGUUCGACCCCGGCUACUGGUA